GAAGAUUAAGGCUCUUGCGAGUACUGCGGUUUUCUAUGUGCCGUUUGUGAGGCAGAUAUGGACAUGGUUGGGGCUUGUCCCUGCGUCGAGAAGGAAUUUUUACGAGUACUUGGCGGCUGGGUAUAGUUGCAUCAUAGUGCCGGGUGGUGUGCAGGAGUUGUUGUACAUGGAAUGUGAUUCGGAGGUUGCUUUUCUUAAAUCAAGGAAAGGAUUUGUAAAGAUAGCCAUUGAGAUGGGUCAACCUCUUGUACCUGUAUUCUGCUUUGGUCAGAGUAAAGUGUACAAAUGGUGGAAGCCAAGUGGGAAAUUAUAUGUACGUAUUUCCAGAGCACUCAGGUUUACUCCCCUCGUCUUUUGGGGGAGAUAUGGAACUCCUAUACCAUUUCGACAACCCAUGCAUGUUGUGGUGGGGAAGCCCA
This 419-nucleotide unclassified non-coding RNA is filed under the name Hevea brasiliensis (rubber tree). The record is from RNAcentral. Lineage: Eukaryota; Viridiplantae; Streptophyta; Magnoliopsida; Malpighiales; Euphorbiaceae.